CCUACGGGAGGCAGCAGUAGGGAAUAUUGCUCAAUGGGGGAAACCAUGAAGCAGCAACGCCGCGUGGAGGAUGACGGCUCUACGAGUUGUAAACUGCUUUUGUACCGGGGUAAAAUGCUCUACGAGUAGGGUUUUGAAAGUACGGUACGAAUAAGGAUCGGCUAACUCCGUGCCAGCAGCCGCGGUAAUACGGAGGAUCCGAGCGUUAUCCGGAUUCAUUGGGUUUAAAGGGUGCGUAGGUUGUUUUAUAAGUUAGCGGUGAAAUACCGAUGCUCAACAUCGGGGCUGCCGCUAAUACUGUAGGACUAGAGAUCGGAUGCAGCAGGCGGAAUGUGUAGUGUAGCGGUGAAAUGCAUAGAUAGUACACAGAACACCGAUUGCGAAGGCAGCUUGCUAGGCCGGAUCUGACACUGAUGCACGAAAGCGUGGGGAUCGAACAGGAUUAGAUACCCUAGUAGUC
This 460-nucleotide ribosomal RNA is filed under the name uncultured bacterium. RNAcentral describes it as "partial 16S ribosomal RNA". It matches the Rfam family "Bacterial small subunit ribosomal RNA", at positions 338 to 795 of the family's 1533-position model. The record is from RNAcentral.